UACGUAGGGGGCAAGCGUUGUUCGGAUUCAUUGGGCGUAAAGGGCAUGUAGGCGGUUAUGUAAGUGUGGAUUUAAAGGCGGAGGCUUAACCUCUAGUUUGGUCUGCAAACUGCGUAGCUUGAGUGUAGAAGGGGAAACUGGAAUUCCGCGUGUAGGGGUGAAAUCUGUAGAUAUGCGGAAGAAUACCUGUGGCGAAGGCGAGUUUCUGGUCUAUAACUGACGCUGAAAUGCGAAAGUGUGGGUAGCAAACAGG
RNAcentral lists this ribosomal RNA (253 nucleotides) under uncultured bacterium. RNAcentral's name for it is "partial 16S ribosomal RNA". It matches the Rfam family "Bacterial small subunit ribosomal RNA", at positions 524 to 776 of the family's 1533-position model. The record is from RNAcentral.